Molecule: ribosomal RNA, 294 nt
Filed under: uncultured bacterium
Lineage: Bacteria
Description: partial 16S ribosomal RNA
Rfam family: Bacterial small subunit ribosomal RNA
Source: RNAcentral
UUACCUACGGGACGCAGCAGUAGGGAAUAUUGCUCAAUGGGGGAAACCCUGAAGCAGCAACGCCGCGUGGAGGAUGAAGGUUUUCGGAUUGUAAACUCCUUUUGUUAGAGAAGAUAAUGACGGUAUCUAACGAAUAAGCACCGGCUAACUCCGUGCCAGCAGCCGCGGUAAUACGGAGGGUGCAGGCGUUACUCGGAAUCACUGGGCGUAAAGAGCGCGUAGGCGGGAUAGCAAGUCAGAUGUGAAAUCCUAUGGCUUAACCAUAGAACUGUAUUGGAAACAGUUAUUCUAGAG